RNAcentral lists this ribosomal RNA (274 nucleotides) under uncultured bacterium. RNAcentral describes it as "partial 16S ribosomal RNA". It matches the Rfam family "Bacterial small subunit ribosomal RNA", at positions 523 to 796 of the family's 1533-position model. The record is from RNAcentral.
AUACGGAGGGUGCAAACGUUGUUCGGAAUUACGGGGCGUAAAGCGCACGUAGGCGGUUUGUUAAGUCAGAUGUGAAAGUCCACAGCUCAACUGUGGAAGUGCAUUUGAAACUGGCAGACUUGAGUACUGGAGGGGGUGGUGGAAUUCCCGGUGUAGAGGUGAAAUUCGUAGAUAUCGGGAGGAAUACCGGUGGCGAAGGCGACCACCUGGCCAGAUACUGACGCUGAGGUGCGAAAGCGUGGGGAGCAAACAGGAUUAGAAACCCUAGUAGUCC